This 85-nucleotide transfer RNA is filed under the name Cavernulicola chilensis. RNAcentral describes it as "tRNA-Leu". It matches the Rfam family "tRNA". From Rfam's summary of the family: Transfer RNA (tRNA) molecules are approximately 80 nucleotides in length. Their secondary structure includes four short double-helical elements and three loops (D, anti-codon, and T loops). Further hydrogen bonds mediate the characteristic L-shaped molecular structure. tRNAs have two regions of fundamental functional importance: the anti-codon, which is responsible for specific mRNA codon recognition, and the 3' end, to which the tRNAs corresponding amino acid is attached (by aminoacyl-tRNA synthetases). tRNAs cope with the degeneracy of the genetic code in two manners: having more than one tRNA (with a specific anti-codon) for a particular amino acid; and 'wobble' base-pairing, i.e. permitting non-standard base-pairing at the 3rd anti-codon position. The record is from RNAcentral. Lineage: Eukaryota; Rhodophyta; Bangiophyceae; Cavernulicolales; Cavernulicolaceae.
GCGGAUGUGGUGGAAUGGUAGACACGCACACUUGAGAUGUGUGUUGCAUAAUUGCAAUACGAGUUCAAGUCUCGUCGUCCGUAUU